Non-coding RNA from Pogona vitticeps (central bearded dragon), 1163 nucleotides. The record is from RefSeq and is a predicted model, not a curated record. Lineage: Eukaryota; Metazoa; Chordata; Lepidosauria; Squamata; Agamidae.
GUUUUGUUGGAGACAUCUGGUAUCAAGACCUCUGGCAGCAUCUGCGUACCUUGAAGCCACUUCCGCUCCUAUUUCUGCAAAUCCAAAUUAUCUGGGCAAUAUGAAGUCACGCCUUGACACUACAUUACUGAGUCCGUCCAGCUCUGUGACUCUCAACUCUUGGUCGGGGUCUAGAUUAGUCCACCUCCCGAAAGAGGGCAAGAUUGGGCCACCACUGAGCCCUAUGAAGAUCCUUGAACAAGGCAUGACUCUGUCGCUUGCGAUCCUAGCCAUGUUUACUCGGAACUUAAGUUACAAUGCAGAAAGCAAGCAAUACACUUGGAAGAUAGCUCCAGAUCAGUUCGCCAGGAUCCACUCAGAUACUAUUCAGCCUCUCCAAAGGAGCCAUAAACGAUCUGGGGCGUUGGUUGAAAAAUCAAACUGAGGAGAGACGCCAACAGAGCCAUCAGGAUGAAGAUGAGUCAACUUCGAUGACUGAACUGUGAUUGAAGCAGUGCACAGCUGACCUAACUGUGGCAUGGUCCCAGUCACUUGGGGCAACUGAGCAUGAGGUACAACCGUCCACCUAUUCAUACGUCCAUGUGAAGUUGAGUAGAUAUUCAGUAGCUUGGAGAAUCAAAUGGCAACCAAUUCUUUUCAAAUAGUGUUAGCAAUAAAUGUGCUAGUCUAUUUCAAAAUGUGUUGACUGCAAUUAUAUCUGUACAUAAUGUAUUUGAAUGUAAUGACAUUUGUGUAGUCUACAUGCAGACAAAAUACAGAGAGGCAUACACUUCCACAAGAGCACUUUAACAAUAGUUCUAUAGAACCUGAACCACAAAUGUGAUGGGCAUGGCAGCAGGAAGGAAAACAAAUAAAAAUAACUAGCUGUAGAGGUAAAAUGUAUUGCAUAAACAUCUGUAGUCUAAUUUCAUUUUACCAGCAUACUUUCCUCUGUAAAUCAGAUAGUUUUUAGUCUUUUGGCUUGAUUCAUGAUUGGAACCAUAGUUUUCUUUUAGUACACAACACAGGGAGAUCAGCACAAAUCAUUAGGCUGGAAAAAUCAAUCUGAUUUUAAGUAUUUUUAUUAACAGAAGCCAUAAAAAUUAGGGCCAGUGUACAAAUGUGAACUGGAAAUUUUCAGAUCUUAGUUGUAAUAGCUUCUAAGUCUGAAGAUUCCUUGUGAA